UACAGAGGUCCCAAGCGUUGUUCGGAUUUACUGGGCGUAAAGGGUGCGUAGGCGGCUGCGCAAGUCGGGUGUGAAACCCCGGGGCUCAACCCCGUGCCUGCUUCCGAUGCGGGCAGACUAGAGGUAUGCAGGGGAGAACGGAAUUCCUGGUGUAGCGGUGAAAUGCGCAGAUAUCAGGAGGAACACCGGUGGCGAAGGCGGUUCUCUGGGCAUUACCUGACGCUGAGGAGCGAAAGUGUGGGGAGCGAACAGG
RNAcentral lists this ribosomal RNA (253 nucleotides) under uncultured bacterium. RNAcentral describes it as "partial 16S ribosomal RNA". It matches the Rfam family "Bacterial small subunit ribosomal RNA", at positions 524 to 776 of the family's 1533-position model. The record is from RNAcentral.